GUGGGGAAUCUUGCGCAAUGGGCGAAAGCCUGACGCAGCCAUGCCGCGUGAAUGAUGAAGGUCUUAGGAUUGUAAAAUUCUUUCACCGGGGACGAUAAUGACGGUACCCGGAGAAGAAGCCCCGGCUAACUUCGUGCCAGCAGCCGCGGUAAUACGAAGGGGGCUAGCGUUGCUCGGAAUUACUGGGCGUAAAGGGCGCGUAGGCGGACAGUUUAGUCAGAGGUGAAAGCCCAGGGCUGAACCUUGGAAUUGCCUUUGAUACUGGCUGUCUUGAGUACGGGAGAGGUGAGUGGAACUCCGAGUGUAGAGGUGAAAUUCGUAGAUAUUCGGAAGAACACCAGUGGCGAAGGCGACUCACUGGCCCGUUACUGACGCUGAGGCGCGAAAGCGUGGGGAGCAAACAGGAUUAGAUACCCUAGUAGUCC
This 425-nucleotide ribosomal RNA is filed under the name uncultured bacterium. RNAcentral describes it as "partial 16S ribosomal RNA". It matches the Rfam family "Bacterial small subunit ribosomal RNA", at positions 354 to 796 of the family's 1533-position model. The record is from RNAcentral.